UACGUAGGGGGCAAGCGUUAUCCGGAUUUACUGGGUGUAAAGGGAGCGUAGACGGUUAUGUAAGUCUGGAGUGAAAGCCCGGGGCCCAACCCCGGGACUGCUUUGGAAACUGUGUAACUGGAGUACAGGAGGGGCAGGCGGAAUUCCUGGUGUAGCGGUGAAAUGCGUAGAUAUCACGAAGAACUCCGAUUGCGAAGGCAGCUCACUGGACUGCAACUGACACUGAGGCUCGAAAGUGUGGGUAUCAAACAGG
RNAcentral lists this ribosomal RNA (253 nucleotides) under uncultured Eubacteriales bacterium. RNAcentral's name for it is "uncultured Clostridiales bacterium partial 16S ribosomal RNA". It matches the Rfam family "Bacterial small subunit ribosomal RNA", at positions 524 to 776 of the family's 1533-position model. Lineage: Bacteria; Bacillati; Bacillota; Clostridia; Eubacteriales. The record is from RNAcentral.